RNAcentral lists this unclassified non-coding RNA (235 nucleotides) under uncultured Ascomycota. Its description in RNAcentral is "sequence contains ITS2". The stretch from base 1 to 52 matches the Rfam family "5.8S ribosomal RNA", at positions 103 to 154 of the family's 154-position model. The record is from RNAcentral. Lineage: Eukaryota; Fungi; Ascomycota.
AACGCACAUUGCGCCCCUUGGUAUUCCGAGGGGCAUGCCUGUUCGAGCGUCAGUUGACCGAUCAAGCCUGGCUUGGUAUUGGGGCCCGCCUUCCAGCGGCCUCUAAACACAGUGGCGGUACCGUUCGGUUCUCAGCGUAGUAAUUCUUCUCGCUACAGAGCCCUGCGGUUGCUUGCCAUAACCCCAACUUCUUAUGGUUGACCUCGGAUCAGGUAGGGAUACCCGCUGAACUUAA